ACGGGGAGCAGCAGGCGCGAAACCUUUACACUGCACGCAAGUGCGAUAAGGGGACCCCGAGUGCGAGGGCAUACAGUCCUCGCUUUUCGUGACCGUAAGGUGGUCUCAGAAUAAGGGCUGGGCAAGACCGGUGCCAGCCGCCGCGGUAAUACCGGCAGCCCGAGUGAUGGCCGAUAUUAUUGGGCCUAAAGCGUCCGUAGCUGGCCGGACAAGUCCGUUGGGAAAUCUGUUCGCUUAACGAGCAGGCGUCCAGCGGAAACUGUUCGGCUUGGGACCGGAAGACCUGAGGGGUACGUCCGGGGUAGGAGUGAAAUCCUGUAAUCCUGGACGGACCACCGGUGGCGAAAGCGCCUCAGGAGGACGGAUCCGACAGUGAGGGACGAAAGCUAGGGUCUCGAACCGGAUUAGAUACCCGGGUAGUCCUGGCCGUAAACAAUGUCUGCUAGGUGUGGCUCCCACUACGAGUGGGUGCUGUGCCGUAGGGAAGCCGCUAAGCAGACCGCCUGGGAAGUACGUCCGCAAGGAUGAAACUUAAAGGAAUUGGCGGGGGAGCAC
Molecule: ribosomal RNA, 555 nt
Filed under: uncultured Halobacterium sp.
Lineage: Archaea; Methanobacteriati; Methanobacteriota; Halobacteria; Halobacteriales; Halobacteriaceae
Description: bacterial SSU rRNA
Rfam family: Archaeal small subunit ribosomal RNA
Source: RNAcentral